UGGGGAAUAUUGCACAAUGGGCGAAAGCCUGAUGCAGCGACGCCGCGUGAGGGAUGACGGCCUUCGGGUUGUAAACCUCUUUCAGUAGGGACGAAGCGCAAGUGACGGUACCUGCAGAAGAAGCACCGGCUAACUACGUGCCAGCAGCCGCGGUAAUACGUAGGGUGCGAGCGUUGUCCGGACUUACUGGGCGUAAAGAGCUCGUAGGCGGUUUGUCACGUCGUCUGUGAAAUCCUAGGGCUUAACCCUGGACGUGCAGGCGAUACGGGCUGACUUGAGUACUACAGGGGAGACUGGAAUUUCUGGUGUAGCGGUGGAAUGCACAGAUAUCAGGAAGAACACCGAUGGCGAAGGCAGGUCUCUGGGUAGUAACUGACGCUGAGGAGCGAAAGCAUGGGUAGCGAACAGG
Molecule: ribosomal RNA, 409 nt
Filed under: bacterium
Lineage: Bacteria
Description: partial 16S ribosomal RNA
Rfam family: Bacterial small subunit ribosomal RNA
Source: RNAcentral